GUGGGGAAUUUUGGACAAUGGGCGCAAGCCUGAUCCAGCAAUGCCGCGUGCAGGAAGAAGGCCUUCGGGUUGUAAACUGCUUUUGUACGGAACGAAACGGUCCGGGUUAAUACCCUGGGCUAAUGACGGUACCGUAAGAAUAAGCACCGGCUAACUACGUGCCAGCAGCCGCGGUAAUACGUAGGGUGCAAGCGUUAAUCGGAAUUACUGGGCGUAAAGCGUGCGCAGGCGGUUUUGUAAGACAGGCGUGAAAUCCCCGGGCUCAACCUGGGAAGUGUGCGUGUGACUGCAAGGCUGGAGUGCGGCAGAGGGGGAUGGAAUUCCGCGUGUAGCAGUGAAAUGCGUAGAUAUGCGGAGGAACACCGAUGGCGAAGGCAAUCCCCUGGGCCUGCACUGACGCUCAUGCACGAAAGCGUGGGGAGCAAACAGGAUUAGAUACCCGAGUAGUCC
This 450-nucleotide ribosomal RNA is filed under the name uncultured bacterium. Its description in RNAcentral is "partial 16S ribosomal RNA". It matches the Rfam family "Bacterial small subunit ribosomal RNA", at positions 354 to 796 of the family's 1533-position model. The record is from RNAcentral.